CCUGGGGGCGAUGCGGGCUGUGGCCUCCGUGCCCGGAGCCUGGCCUGGAAGGACACCCCGCCGGAGCAGGAGGGGCAGCUCCACCCGCCCUGUUAAAGAGAGAAGCACCAUCGUGCAUCAGUGAAAAGGCAGCCCCCCCACCUGGUGCUUCGGCACCACCUCCCUGCUGGGGUGACAGCCCGGCUCCCCCAGACCAGGGUCAUCGGUCCAGCAAUUGACCCGCGAGGACGAAGACAAGUCACGUUGCCGAGCAUAUUAGCAGGCCAACCCUCAGAGCCCCGGCUGGCGCCAGCACGGCAGCCACCUGUCAGCCACUCUAACGUAAAAUGUGGUCAAAAGCCAAUUGCAAAGUUCAGAAAGGCACAGAAAAACCACCAAAGAAUGACUACAUGGGCGCAUCUGCGAAGAAAAAAGUUACUCUCAGAGGAAGGGACAGCCCCAAGACGCAG
Molecule: long non-coding RNA, 449 nt
Organism: Talpa occidentalis (Iberian mole)
Lineage: Eukaryota; Metazoa; Chordata; Mammalia; Eulipotyphla; Talpidae
Exons: 4
Source: RefSeq, a predicted model, not a curated record